This is a small nucleolar RNA of Callorhinchus milii (elephant shark), 81 nucleotides long. NCBI's taxonomy places the organism in Eukaryota, Metazoa, Chordata, Chondrichthyes, Chimaeriformes, Callorhinchidae. The record is from Ensembl.
AUACAGGAAACGAUGAUGUUUAAAUUCACCCACAUAUCUGAACACCUUUGUGUGGACAGUCCAUUUUCUGAGUUUCUUGAU